Molecule: long non-coding RNA, 329 nt
Organism: Tachysurus fulvidraco (yellow catfish)
Lineage: Eukaryota; Metazoa; Chordata; Actinopteri; Siluriformes; Bagridae
Exons: 3
Source: RefSeq, a predicted model, not a curated record
GGAGUGUGUAAGUGUGUGUAAGUGUGUGUAAGUGUGUGUAAGUGUGUGUGUAAGAGGAAGAUCAGCAGUUUUGUGCUCACACUAAUUCUGAGAACUGGACAUUCGGAACACAUUUAGAUGAAUCUUUCAUGAACAGAGAAAUGAAAUCAGUGAAGAAGCUCAUCAUCAUUUACUCUCUAUUUCAAGCAUCUCCAAUCAGACCCUCAAUAACACUGUAUAAGGAGGAUCAGGGGGAGGUGGAGGACCACAAUGAGGUGGUGGAGGGAACUUCACUGAGUCUCAUUUGCUCUGCUCGAUCUCCAUGUCCCUUCAAACCCCCUAUUAUUACA